RNAcentral lists this ribosomal RNA (79 nucleotides) under Pseudomonas aeruginosa. The record is from RNAcentral. Lineage: Bacteria; Pseudomonadati; Pseudomonadota; Gammaproteobacteria; Pseudomonadales; Pseudomonadaceae. RNAcentral also lists the same sequence under 5 other names.
CCUGGCGGCUUUAGCGCGGUGGUCCCACCUGACCCCAUGCCGAACUCAGAAGUGAAACGCCGUAGCGCCGAUGGUAGUG